RNAcentral lists this ribosomal RNA (465 nucleotides) under uncultured Thermomicrobia bacterium. RNAcentral's name for it is "bacterial SSU rRNA". It matches the Rfam family "Bacterial small subunit ribosomal RNA", at positions 224 to 704 of the family's 1533-position model. The record is from RNAcentral. Lineage: Bacteria; Pseudomonadati; Thermomicrobiota; Thermomicrobia.
GGUGGGCCCGCGACCUAUCAGCUUGUCGGUGGGGUAACGGCCUACCGAGGCUCUGACGGGUAGCUGGUCUGAGAGGACGACCAGCCACACGGGGACUGAGACACGGCCCCGACUCCUACGGGAGGCAGCAGUAAGGAAUCUUCCGCAAUGGGCGAAAGCCUGACGGAGCGACGCCGCGUGUGGGAUGAAGUCUCUCGGGAUGUAAACCACUGUCGGAGGGGAGGAGAAUGGACGGUACCCUCCAAGAAAGCCCCGGCUAACUACGUGCCAGCAGCCGCGGUAAUACGUAGGGGGCAAGCGUUACUCGGAUUCACUGGGCGUAAAGCGCGUGUAGGCGGCUGGUCAAGCGUGAUGUGAAAUCUCCGGGCUCAACCCGGAAACUGCAUCGCGAACUGGCCUGGCUGGAGUGCAGGAGAGGGAUGUGGAAUUCCCGGUGUAGCGGUGAAAUGCGUAGAUAUCGGGAGG